GGGGAUAUAGCUUAGUGGUAUAAGCAUCUGCUUGGCAAGCACAAGGUCCUGAGUUUAGUUCCUGGUACCCACA
This 73-nucleotide transfer RNA is filed under the name Cavia porcellus (domestic guinea pig). It matches the Rfam family "tRNA". From Rfam's summary of the family: Transfer RNA (tRNA) molecules are approximately 80 nucleotides in length. Their secondary structure includes four short double-helical elements and three loops (D, anti-codon, and T loops). Further hydrogen bonds mediate the characteristic L-shaped molecular structure. tRNAs have two regions of fundamental functional importance: the anti-codon, which is responsible for specific mRNA codon recognition, and the 3' end, to which the tRNAs corresponding amino acid is attached (by aminoacyl-tRNA synthetases). tRNAs cope with the degeneracy of the genetic code in two manners: having more than one tRNA (with a specific anti-codon) for a particular amino acid; and 'wobble' base-pairing, i.e. permitting non-standard base-pairing at the 3rd anti-codon position. The record is from Rfam by way of RNAcentral. Lineage: Eukaryota; Metazoa; Chordata; Mammalia; Rodentia; Caviidae.